UCAGCAGCCGCGGUAAUUCGUAGGGUCCGAGCGUUGUCCGGAAUUACUGGGCGUAAAGAGCUCGUAGGUGGUUUGUCGCGUUGUCCGUGAAAACUCACAGCUCAACUGUGGGCGUGCGGGCGAUACGGGCAGACUAGAGUACUGCAGGGGAGACUGGAAUUCCUGGUGUAGCGGUGGAAUGCGCAGAUAUCAGGAGGAACACCGGUGGCGAAGGCGGGUCUCUGGGCAGUAACUGACGCUGAGGAGCGAAAGCGUGGGGAGCGAACAGGAUUAGAUACCCUGGUAGUCCACGCCGUAAACGGUGGGUACUAGGUGUGGGUUUCCUUCCUUGGGAUCCGUGCCGUAGCUAACGCAUUAAGUACCCCGCCUGGGGAGUACGGCCGCAAGGCUAAAACUCAAAGAAAUUGACGGGGGCCCGCACAAGCGGCGGAGCAUGUGGAUUAAUUCGAUGCAACGCGAAGAACCUUACCUGGGUUUGACAUGCACAGGACGCUGGUAGAGAUAUCAGUUCCCUUGUGGCCUGUGUGCAGGUGGUGCAUGGCUGUCGUCAGCUCGUGUCGUGAGAUGUUGGGUUAAGUCCCGCAACGAGCGCAACCCCUAUCUUAUGUUGCCAGCGCGUCAUGGCGGGGACUCGUAAGAGACUGCCGGGGUCAGCUCGGAGGAAGGUGGGGAUGACGUCAAGUCAUCAUGCCCCUUAUGUCCAGGGCUUCACACAUGCUACAAUGGCCGGUACAAAGGGCUGCGAUGCCGUGAGGUGGAGCGAAUCCUUGAAAGCCGGUCUCAGUUCGGAUCGGGGUCUGCAACUCGACCCCGUGAAGUCGGAGUCGCUAGUAAUCGCAGAUCAGCAACGCUGCGGUGAAUACGUUCCCGGGCCUUGCACACACCGCCCGUCA
RNAcentral lists this ribosomal RNA (893 nucleotides) under uncultured Actinomycetes bacterium. RNAcentral describes it as "bacterial SSU rRNA". It matches the Rfam family "Bacterial small subunit ribosomal RNA", at positions 508 to 1399 of the family's 1533-position model. The record is from RNAcentral. Lineage: Bacteria; Bacillati; Actinomycetota; Actinomycetes.